AGUAAACGCGUGUCAUCAGGGGAAAUUUCUCAUUUUUCUCCCCACAUUCUCCUCCAUUUUCCAAAAAAAGAAAACACAAAAACAAACAAAAUCUAGCAGAGAGUGGGGUUUUUCUGGUGAUCUUCGCCUUUUCCUUCAGUAAAAACAUGAUUUAAAAAUGAAAAUUGGUGAGCUUUUUGAGCUACACUUACAUAUGUUCAUUCAAUUGGGAAUUAUUUGGAGGAAAUAGAUUUUCACUCAAUUAAUCAAGGUAGUUCUUAUUAAUUGGUGGGUUUGUGAAGCAAGAUUUGAGGUGUGUUGGUAAAAUUGUAUGGGAAAGACAACGAACUUGUUGCUGGUGCACAGGAAUCAGCUUCUUCUCGUCGUAUGCCACCAAGAUCUGGUUGUGUCAACCUUAGCUGAAAUUCUGUGGGAACAGCUAAAGACCAGACGUAGGUCUUCUACUGGGAGCAUAUUUAGAUGGAACUGAUGCAAAGGAAAAUGAUUGUUUUUUCUGUGUUGUUAUUCACAAUAUUGAUGGACCUGAUGGUUGCAUGACAGUGCACCCGUUAAAAUGUUUGUGUUGUUGCAUCUAUUGAUAACUAUGUAAGAAUUCGCUUCACAUCACCAUGUAUCUGAUUGCAUAUCCUAUAUGCAAGUCAUUGUUCUCUAAUUCAUUUUGUUGCUAUAA
Molecule: long non-coding RNA, 670 nt
Organism: Papaver somniferum (opium poppy)
Lineage: Eukaryota; Viridiplantae; Streptophyta; Magnoliopsida; Ranunculales; Papaveraceae
Exons: 2
Source: RefSeq, a predicted model, not a curated record